CUACGGGAGGCAGCAGUAAGGAAUAUUGCGCAAUGGGCGAAAGCCUGACGCAGCGACGCCGCGUGGGGGAUGAAGGUCUUCGGAUUGUAAACCCCUUUCGGGAGGGAAGAUGGGAUGGGGUAACCCAUUCGGACGGUACCUCCAGAAGCAGCCACGGCUAACUUCGUGCCAGCAGCCGCGGUAAUACGAAGGUGGCAAGCGUUGUUCGGAUUUACUGGGCGUACAGGGAGCGUAGGCGGUUGGGUAAGCCCUCCGUGAAAUCUCCAGGCUUAACCUGGAAAGUGCAGAGGGGACUGCUCAGCUAGAGGAUGGGAGAGGAGCGCGGAAUUCCCGGUGUAGCGGUGAAAUGCGUAGAGAUCGGGAGGAAGGCCGGUGGCGAAGGCGGCGCUCUGGAACAUUUCUGACGCUGAGGCUCGAAAGCGUGGGGAGCAAACAGGAUUAGAUACCCCGGU
This 452-nucleotide ribosomal RNA is filed under the name uncultured bacterium. RNAcentral describes it as "bacterial SSU rRNA". It matches the Rfam family "Bacterial small subunit ribosomal RNA", at positions 339 to 791 of the family's 1533-position model. The record is from RNAcentral.